This 302-nucleotide ribosomal RNA is filed under the name uncultured bacterium. RNAcentral describes it as "partial 16S ribosomal RNA". It matches the Rfam family "Bacterial small subunit ribosomal RNA", at positions 508 to 807 of the family's 1533-position model. The record is from RNAcentral.
GCAGCCGCCACGGGAAUACGAAGGGGGCUAGCGUUGUUCGGAUUUACUGGGCGUAAAGGGCUCGCAGGCGGUUUCUUAAGUCUGAUGUGAAAGCCCCCGGCUCAACCGGGGAGGGUCAUUGGAAACUGGGAAACUUGAGUGCAGAAGAGGAGAGUGGAAUUCCACGUAUAGCGGUGAAAUGCGUAGAGAUGUGGAGGAACACCAGUGGCGAAGGCGACUCUCUGGUCUGUAACUGACGCUGAGGAGCGAAAGCGUGGGGAGCGAACAGGAUUAGAUACCCGAGUAGUCCCUGUCUCUUAUAC